RNAcentral lists this small RNA (4535 nucleotides) under Pan troglodytes (chimpanzee). Its description in RNAcentral is "retained intron". Lineage: Eukaryota; Metazoa; Chordata; Mammalia; Primates; Hominidae. The record is from RNAcentral.
GUAUAAAUGACAUCGCAUUUAAGCCUGAUGGAACUCAACUGAUUUUGGCUGCCGGAAGCAGAUUACUGGUUUAUGACACCUCUGAUGGCACCUUACUUCAGCCCCUCAAGGGACACAAAGACACUGUGUACUGUGUGGCAUAUGCGAAGGAUGGCAAGCGCUUUGCUUCUGGAUCAGCUGACAAAAGCGUUAUUAUCUGGACAUCAAAACUGGAAGGCAUUCUGAAGUACACGCACAAUGAUGCUAUACAAUGUGUCUCCUACAAUCCUAUUACUCAUCAACUGGCAUCUUGUUCCUCCAGUGACUUUGGGUUGUGGUCUCCUGAACAGAAGUCUGUCUCCAAACACAAAUCAAGCAGCAAGAUCAUCUGUUGCAGCUGGACAAAUGAUGGUCAGUACCUGGCGCUGGGGAUGUUCAAUGGGAUCAUCAGCAUACGGAACAAAAAUGGCGAGGAGAAAGUAAAGAUCGAGCGGCCGGGGGGCUCCCUCUCGCCAAUAUGGUCCAUCUGCUGGAACCCUUCAAGAGAGGAACGUAAUGACAUCCUGGCUGUGGCUGACUGGGGACAGAAAGUUUCCUUCUACCAACUGAGUGGAAAACAGAUUGGAAAGGAUCGGGCACUGAACUUUGACCCCUGCUGCAUCAGCUACUUUACUAAAGGCGAGUACAUUUUGCUGGGGGGUUCAGACAAGCAAGUAUCUCUUUUCACCAAGGAUGGAGUGCGGCUUGGGACUGUUGGGGAGCAGAACUCCUGGGUGUGGACGUGUCAAGCGAAACCGGAUUCCAACUAUGUGGUGGUCGGCUGCCAGGACGGCACCAUUUCCUUCUACCAGCUUAUUUUCAGCACAGUCCAUGGGCUUUACAAGGACCGCUAUGCCUACAGGGAUAGCAUGACUGACGUCAUUGUGCAGCACCUGAUCACUGAGCAGAAAGUUCGGAUUAAAUGCAAAGAGCUUGUCAAGAAGAUUGCCAUCUACAGAAAUCGAUUGGCUAUCCAACUGCCAGAGAAAAUCCUCAUCUAUGAGUUGUAUUCAGAGGACUUAUCAGACAUGCAUUACCGGGUAAAGGAGAAGAUUAUCAAGAAGUUUGAGUGCAACCUCCUGGUGGUGUGUGCCAAUCACAUCAUCCUGUGCCAGGAGAAACGGCUGCAGUGCCUGUCCUUCAGCGGAGUGAAGGAGCGGGAGUGGCAGAUGGAGUCUCUCAUUCGUUACAUCAAGGUGAUCGGUGGCCCUCCUGGAAGAGAAGGCCUCUUAGUGGGGCUGAAGAAUGGACAGAUCCUGAAGAUCUUCGUGGACAAUCUCUUUGCUAUCGUCCUGCUGAAGCAGGCCACAGCUGUGCGCUGCUUGGACAUGAGUGCCUCCCGUAAGAAGCUGGCCGUGGUAGAUGAAAAUGACACUUGCCUGGUGUAUGACAUCGACACCAAGGAGCUGCUUUUUCAGGAACCAAACGCCAACAGUGUGGCCUGGAACACCCAGUGUGAGGACAUGCUCUGCUUCUCGGGAGGAGGCUACCUCAACAUCAAAGCCAGCACCUUCCCUGUGCACCGGCAGAAGCUGCAGGGCUUUGUGGUCGGCUACAAUGGCUCCAAGAUCUUCUGCCUCCAUGUCUUCUCCAUUUCUGCUGUGGAGGUGCCGCAGUCCGCUCCCAUGUACCAGUACCUGGAUAGGAAACUGUUCAAGGAAGCCUACCAGAUUGCUUGCUUGGGUGUCACAGACACUGAUUGGCGUGAACUGGCCAUGGAAGCGCUAGAAGGUUUAGAUUUUGAAACAGCAAAGAAGGCCUUCAUCAGAGUACAAGACCUCCGAUAUUUAGAGCUCAUCAGCAGCAUUGAGGAGAGGAAGAAGCGGGGAGAGACCAACAAUGACCUGUUUCUGGCAGAUGUGUUUUCCUACCAGGGGAAGUUCCAUGAGGCCGCCAAACUGUACAAGAGGAGUGGGCACGAGAACCUCGCGCUUGAAAUGUACACCGACCUCUGCAUGUUUGAGUAUGCCAAGGAUUUCCUUGGAUCUGGAGACCCCAAAGAAACAAAGAUGCUAAUCACCAAACAGGCUGACUGGGCCAGAAAUAUCAAGGAGCCCAAAGCCGCCGUGGAGAUGUACAUCUCAGCAGGAGAGCACGUCAAGGCCAUCGAGAUCUGUGGUGACCAUGGCUGGGUUGACAUGUUGAUCGACAUCGCCCGCAAGCUGGACAAGGCUGAGCGCGAGCCCCUGCUGCUGUGCGCUACCUACCUCAAGAAGCUGGACAGCCCUGGCUAUGCUGCUGAGACCUACCUGAAGAUGGGUGACCUCAAGUCCCUGGUGCAGCUGCACGUGGAGACCCAGCGCUGGGAUGAGGCCUUUGCUUUGGGUGAGAAGCAUCCUGAGUUUAAGGAUGACAUCUACGUGCCGUAUGCUCAGUGGCUAGCAGAGAACGAUCGCUUUGAGGAAGCCCAGAAAGCGUUCCACAAGGCUGGGCGACAGAGAGAAGCGGUCCAGGUGCUGGAGCAGCUCACAAACAAUGCCGUAGCAGAGAGCAGGUUUAAUGAUGCUGCCUAUUAUUACUGGAUGCUGUCCAUGCAAUGCCUCGAUAUAGCUCAAGAUCCUGCCCAGAAGGACACAAUGCUUGGCAAGUUCUACCACUUCCAGCGUUUGGCAGAGCUGUACCAUGGUUACCAUGCCAUCCAUCGCCACACGGAAGAUCCGUUCAGUGUCCAUCGUCCUGAAACUCUUUUCAACAUCUCCAGGUUCCUGCUGCACAGCCUUCCCAAGGACACCCCCUCGGGCAUCUCUAAAGUGAAAAUACUCUUCACCUUGGCCAAGCAGAGCAAGGCCCUCGGUGCCUACAGGCUGGCCCGGCACGCCUAUGACAAGCUGCGUGGCCUGUACAUCCCUGCCAGAUUCCAAAAGUCCAUUGAGCUGGGUACCCUGACCAUCCGCGCCAAGCCCUUCCACGACAGUGAGGUGAGGAUGCAGCACCCUUGGGCAGGUGGCUUCUCCUCCUCUCCCUUGAGGCCAUCUCAUGCCUUCUUGCCUGGCCUGGGUUCCGUUUGAAGAGAGACAGCUGCAGCUCCCUCUAGGCUCUGUGCCCCCUGCUCAAGCCUGGCCAUGCCAGCUCCCCUGUGCUUCCCUGUCCACCUCCUGUUCUCCCCGCAGUCCACCUGGCGCCCGCUCACAGCCCCCGGCCCCAGCCUCAGCCCUCAGCCUGGCCUCCCUUGCUCCUUGCCCUCCCCUAGGCAAGCCCCACACCUCUGUGCCCAGGUGGCUCUGCCUUUACCCCAGGCCUGGCCCCAGAGCUGACUCUUACUCUAGAAACCUCUGCCCUUUCUGGAACCAGGCUGUAGUUCUCCAGCAAAUCUACCCCACACUCCCAACCCACAUUCCUUCAACCCAGCCAGCUUCCUUCUUUCACACAUCCUCCCUCAAGCUCAGAGCAAGGACUUGCAUCAGACAGACCUGGGUUCACAUCCCGGCUCCACCCUCUCCUAGCUCUGUCUCCAUCUUUCUGCACCUUGGGUUCCCCCUUUCCCACAGGUAGUUGUGAGGCUAAAUGAGCCAGUAUAGUCCACGUGCUCCGCACGGUGCCCGGAGCAUGGUAAAUGGCUGGCUAAUGGUGGCAGCGGCCACUGUCAUUCCUGCCAGGGGAAAAGUGCCGUUGAGCGCUGCCUGUGCAGGUGUCUUGGGCACGGGGACCCAAGUGACAGGGCUUGGGUAUUUUGGCAGGCCUUUAUCCUGCUUCCCCAUGGCAUGGAGCUCCUGGGCCUGGCGCCCCUUCCCUGCCUGCCCACCCGGGUGGCUUUUCCUCUUGGCAGCCAGGCCCCAGGGGCCCGAAGCCAGAGUCCAGGGGGAGGAGGACACGUGCCUGCCCCGGCCCCUCGGGAGUCCGUGGCUGUUUUGUAGGAGUUGGUGCCCUUGUGCUACCGCUGCUCCACCAACAACCCGCUGCUCAACAACCUGGGCAACGUCUGCAUCAACUGCCGCCAGCCCUUCAUCUUCUCCGCGUCUUCCUACGACGUGCUACACCUGGUUGAGUUCUACCUGGAGGAAGGGAUCACUGAUGAAGAAGCCAUCUCCCUCAUCGACCUGGAGGUGCUGAGACCCAAGCGGGAUGACAGACAGCUAGAGAUUGCAAACAACAGCUCCCAGAUUCUGCGGCUAGUGGAGACCAAGGACUCCAUCGGAGAUGAGGACCCGUUCACAGCUAAGCUGAGCUUUGAGCAAGGUGGCUCAGAGUUCGUGCCAGUGGUGGUGAGCCGGCUGGUGCUGCGCUCCAUGAGCCGCCGGGAUGUCCUCAUUAAGCGAUGGCCCCCACCCCUGAGGUGGCAAUACUUCCGCUCGCUGCUGCCUGACGCCUCCAUUACCAUGUGCCCCUCCUGCUUCCAGAUGUUCCAUUCUGAGGACUAUGAGUUGCUGGUGCUUCAGCAUGGCUGCUGCCCCUACUGCCGCAGGUGCAAGGACGACCCUGGCCCAUGACCAGCAUCCUGGGGACGGCCUGCACCCUCUGCCCGCCUUGGGGUCUGCUGGGCUGUGAAGGAGAAUAAAGAGUUAAACUGUCAGAAUGUG